This is a long non-coding RNA of Myotis daubentonii (Daubenton's bat), 1901 nucleotides long. RefSeq lists it as uncharacterized. The record is from RefSeq and is a predicted model, not a curated record. NCBI's taxonomy places the organism in Eukaryota, Metazoa, Chordata, Mammalia, Chiroptera, Vespertilionidae.
AGAGUGGACUGAAAAAAAAAUCAGGUGCUGGAAAUAUUUUUUCUUGUAUUUGUAAGUCUCAAGAAGAGCUUCACCACGAGGAGGCCCGUGUACAGCUUCCUCGUGACUCCUUCCGAGUAUCAUUAGAGCUCUUGUUUGAGACAAAUGGGCGCCAUCAUUUCUUCACCGCUCAGACCUGUAGGAGGAAGACGGCACUGACGAGCUCCUGUGGAAUAGAAACCUCCUGACUUCCAAAUAUGGUGCCUGCGAAGCAAAGUGAUUAUGAAAUCAGGUCAAGAAAAAAAAGAGAAACACAAUAUAAUAAAAAGACAUGUCAAGCGAGGUGGCGUCACUUCCUCGAAGGCCACUGCCGUUGGAGGUGGACUGCAUCCUGAGGGUGGCUACAUCCGCCUGGCUGAGUGCCCGUCCCUUCUCCUUCUGGCAGUUUUCCUCUUGGGAAUUCAUGGAAGUCCAGUGGCAUUGUCUGAUGCUGCCCAUUUUGAGGUGCUGACAUUAUAACAGAGGCUUCUCAGGACACACAGUGAUUUGAUUUCCAAGAUAUCUGAUACUAGAAAGUUUGUGGUGAGAUUCACACAAAGAAUCAAGCUUUGUGAACCGGAAGCCUCACAGUAAACCCAUAUCCUCAUUGUAACAUAACCAGAUCUUUCAUACGUGUUCCCCACGACACAUGGAAUUGUAUGUACAGGAUGGGACAGCACAGCAGACAAUACCCCUGGAGCCGGCUCCUUUUGCUUGUCUAGCUGGACCCUCACUCAUAUACCAGCCUCUUCUAGACCACAAUUUCCCUGGAUUUUACUCCUAAGAAAGGAGGCUGUCUUUGCCAAGCCAUGAGACAUUAAAGAAGAUUACUCAGCUUAGCUGCACUUAGGAUUCAGACAUUCAUUCCAUGCUCUGUUACCUAGAGAGAGGGGGCAAGAUGAGGCAGACUUUCCAUGACAAUAAAGUACAGCAGGCGUGAAAGCUGAUGGGCAGAGAAGAGAUUUGGGCUGUGGACUCACCUCGUGUGGGACAGACGCCACACCUUCCGGUUGUGCCUUUGCUAACGGAGGAGGCAUCGACUAGCUAACUGCUCCCUUGGGAGGGCAGGAUUACCACCCACUGGCCUCAUCUGGGGGUCACGAUAUGUAAGUGGGUGCUUAGAAGAGUCAGCAGGUCUGAUUAAUAUCCUCUAGGCAGUACUUAUGAGCCAUUUUGGGCCCAUCAAAUGGCUAAUAAUAAAAUACAGUGGUGCAAUUUGUAUUUUUACUGCCGGCCAAUUAAGAAGGGGGAGAGAGAGAGUGUGGUAAGUAAAAUGACAUGUCCUUGCAAAGCAGAAACAACUGUCAAAGCAGCAGGAGGGGGGAAAAAGACACAGGGAAGGGAAGCAGCCAGCCACUCAAGGCAGCUAAAAGGGUCAGGCAUCUCAUGUCCUGAUGCCCACCCCCUGCCAGAAAAGUCCCGUUUCCUGCUGGUUUGCAGGGCAGUGGAUAUUUUCAAAGGGAAAUAAUUAUGUGGUAACAUAUGUUCAUCCUGACAGGAAUUGGUGAGUUUCAAAUCAAAUAGUAUUAAAAAAAAAGUCAUUUGAAGAGGAAAUGGUAUAUCUCAGCAUUCUUAUGAGUUCCGUAAGACUUGUGUUCUUGGGUUUGUGAUUUAGCCUGCCUUCCUCUGUUUAUUUUAAAGGCACAGUGGGCAGGGGGAAGCUUUUAAAAAACUUUUAUCAUUUGAUUAUUAUUCUGUACCCCCCAACACUCCCUUGUUCAUUGAGGGUGAGUAUUUGAGUGUGGGUCUGUGAAAACUUGCCCUCUUUGUAAUGUAGUAAUCACUCCAGGAAGUUCUCUGGGCAUCUCCUCACCAGGCUGCUGCUUAAUGUGCUGGUAUUUGCUUUGGGCGCCUGGUGUUGUUGGAGACCAGGAGAAAGAGAG